GAUGAACGCUGGCGGCGUGCUUAACACAUGCAAGUCGAACGGUGAACACGGAGCUUGCUCUGUGGGAUCAGUGGCGAACGGGUGAGUAACACGUGAGCAACCUGCCCCUGACUCUGGGAUAAGCGCUGGAAACGGCGUCUAAUACUGGAUAUGUGACGUGACCGCAUGGUCUGCGUUUGGAAAGAUUUUUCGGUUGGGGAUGGGCUCGCGGCCUAUCAGCUUGUUGGUGAGGUAAUGGCUCACCAAGGCGUCGACGGGUAGCCGGCCUGAGAGGGUGACCGGCCACACUGGGACUGAGACACGGCCCAGACUCCUACGGGAGGCAGCAGUGGGGAAUAUUGCACAAUGGGCGCAAGCCUGAUGCAGCAACGCCGCGUGAGGGAUGACGGCCUUCGGGUUGUAAACCUCUUUUAGCAGGGAAGAAGCGAGAGUGACGGUACCUGCAGAAAAAGCGCCGGCUAACUACGUG
This 469-nucleotide ribosomal RNA is filed under the name uncultured bacterium. RNAcentral's name for it is "partial 16S ribosomal RNA". It matches the Rfam family "Bacterial small subunit ribosomal RNA", at positions 28 to 507 of the family's 1533-position model. The record is from RNAcentral.